This 329-nucleotide long non-coding RNA is filed under the name Gossypium raimondii (Peruvian cotton). RNAcentral describes it as "long non-coding RNA (GRAI_LNC000998)". The record is from RNAcentral. Lineage: Eukaryota; Viridiplantae; Streptophyta; Magnoliopsida; Malvales; Malvaceae.
UCGACAAGAGUAAAAGAAAAGAAAAACAAGACUAAAGAGGGAGAUCAGAGAAUUUCGGCAAUGUGCAAGGUGACACAUAAAAAAAAUCAGAAUUUGGAAUUGGGGAGAAAGAAAUUUUUUUUUCUAAAGUGAGAAAAAAAUCUAAACUAAGUUAGAUAACCCCCCCAAUCCAUCAAUCUGCUCCCAUACUCCCCCACUACAACUUAAACACCCCAAAACCGUCCACCACUCUCUCUCCCUAUCCAAAAUCCCUUAAUUUUCUCUCCUCACUUCCCACUACACCUUUACCACAUCGGUAUUUCAGUUCUACUCAAACUAUCCAUGACACC